UACGAAGGGGGCUAGCGUUGCUCGGAAUUACUGGGCGUAAAGGGCGCGUAGGCGGCUUGGUCAGUCCCGUGUGAAAUCCCUCGGCUCAACUGAGGAACUGCACGGGAAACUGCCUGGCUUGAGUUCGGGAGAGGGAAGCGGAAUUCCGGGUGUAGCGGUGAAAUGCGUAGAUAUCCGGAGGAACACCGGUGGCGAAGGCGGCUUCCUGGACCGACACUGACGCUGAGGCGCGAAAGCUAGGGGAGCAAACGGG
This 253-nucleotide ribosomal RNA is filed under the name uncultured bacterium. RNAcentral describes it as "partial 16S ribosomal RNA". It matches the Rfam family "Bacterial small subunit ribosomal RNA", at positions 524 to 776 of the family's 1533-position model. The record is from RNAcentral.